CAACCAGUCAAUCUAAAAAAAAAUGGUUUGAUUUGUCCUUCCUGUGACAUCAAAACAUACGGCAUAUGUCACCCUAAUGUGUACGUUGAAUGUUUUGGGAAUGAAACAAAGUGUAUCAAACACUUUACAGAGUUUUCAAAAGGUAAAAUAUAUUGCAAUACAAUAUUAAAAAUUCUCUAUAGAACAAAGACAACAAUGUUUAAGGAAACUGCAAAGCAACAUGACUUACCUUUCCGGUUUCGUGCAUACCAUAUGUUGUGUAAAUCCUUGUUAUAUAAGUAUUCUAUAUUAUCUUAGAUAUUCUGAGUUAAAAUAACUGAUCAAAGUUGGUAAAUACAACAACUUCAAUAUCUAAUUAAAUAAUACAUUGGCAGUUUCAAUUAGGGACAACCCAAUCCAUUCGAGAUUUCCAUUUUUUUUUCUAAGGUUGUAAAAUAUAUUAUUGGCCUAUAAUAAAUAUAAACACCUUAUCUAUCCAUCUAUUAUAUAAUUCAGGAUAGUGCAAAUAUUAAUUAUCAUUGUCUCAAUCCUAACACAGGAAUUUUCUCAAAUUAACUAAAUUAAAACUCUGCUCAAGCAAAAGUGAAAGAGCAUACAAUUCAGCAGGAGUGUGAAUGAAAGUGAUGGUGAAUAGAUGUGACUAUUAAGAGUGUGUGCAGGUUACAUAAAGUUAGUGAACCAUAUAUUAACAUAUGGAGAGCCAGCACCAUAUACAGUGAGAGUUUGGUACAAAAGGCAAAUGAAAGGGAGAGCUAUGAUACAGCAUUUUUAACUCAAAUCAUGCCUUUGUUCCCUGAUCCCAAAAAUCCAAAAGCUGUAAAUGAUAUGGUCUAUUCGAUCCCACCCACUCACCCAUAAAGAGUAACUACCCCCACAAACAUACAAAACAAAAACAAAGAAAAGUUAACCGCUUAGGGACUGGGGCAAUUUUACAAGUUCUAAUCAAAACAAAAUCUAAACAAAACCUGAAUUUUUACUACAUGUCUGUUCAACCAUAAUGUAUCUCUUCCAUACCAAGUGCAUCCACACUUAUUGUAUAUAACGGUGUUCAGGAAAAAACAGGGAUUUCAUUUCAAAUCAAAUGUUUAUAUAAGAAAUAUAAUUUUAUAUUAAUCAAAUUCAAAAAGGUAUGAAAAAUUAAGACAUUUUUGUAAUUUCUUUUGCAUGGCAUUUUAACUGUGAAUGUCAUAACACUGUUAACUUUAACUGCACUAAAAUACACAUAUUUGUGUUCAGAGAUGUCUAACAGUUACAACAGUAUCAACUUUUGUACUAGUUGUAUGGAGUUUUGGAAACUUACAGUGUCAAAUAUAGGGCUUUCCCCUUUUCAGUUUUUACACAUUGAAAUUUGCCAGAAUGGUUAUGUUGCCUUUGAUAUAAAAAUGAAACCCACCAUGACAUACUAUUUGCAAAAGUAGACAACCCAGUGUAUUCAAAAUAGAGUAUGUACAGGCUUGUUUAGUAGCUACUUAGUUACAAACCCUGGUCACAGUUAGCAUUCAUAUUUGUUUUUCAAAUUUUCACAAAAAAACUCCCCUUUCACUGAUGAUAUAAUCAGCACUAUAUGUUUUACUGCUCUAAAACAGUCAUAUUUAUGUUCAGCGAUGUUUCACGAGUACAACAGUGUUUUAAAGUUACAGGUUAGGGGGAACUAUUUGAAGCAUUUGUUGUGCUGAGCUAUUUCAAUUGCUUUUGUUUAAUCUGGUAAUUGCAAACAGCUGAAAGUUUGUAAAUCUUUACAAUAAACUUAAAUACAUUUCAGACAUUUCGAAAUGUUGGCACUGACUUUGAAAAUAUGACUGAUCAUGCAAAAAGAUUUUAUUUAUAAGCAUUUUAUUGAAGGAUAGUGAUCAUAUGAAACCAUUUAUUAUCACAUGGUUGUUUGGCUCCCUUUUAAAUUGUAACAAUAACAGAAAUCACCCAAAUGGCCCUGAUCCAAAGUUUACAUACCCUUGAAUGUUUGGACUUGUUAAAGGGACACUAUAGUCACCAAAACAACUGUAGCUUAUUGUAUUUGUUCUGGUGACUAGAAUCAUUCCCUUCAGGCUUUUUGCAGUAAACAGUGUAUUUUCAGAGAAAAUGCAGUGUUUACUUUACAGCCUAGGGGUAGGCUACAAGAGGUGUUUCCUGGGGCAGUAUUCAGUAUUCAGUGCACCCUCUGCAUGCAGACACUGAACUUUCCUCAUAGAGAUACAUUGAUUCAAUGAAUAUCUAUGAGGUGAUGAUGAUCAGGGCUGUUUAACUAGUUCUGGCUCUGCCCCUGAUCUGCCUCAUUGACAAUAUCAGCCAUUCCUAUGGGAAAGCAUUCUGAUUGACUCAGAAUAACACUUCUAAACAUGUCAGCCAAGCAGGCAGAUCAGGGGCAGAGUUAUCAUCAGCAUACUUGAACAAAAGUACGAUUUUACUAUAUUUAGUGGUGUAGGGGGGCAAGGGAGCUAGAUGGUGGUUUUAACACAAUAGGGUCCGGAAUAUAUGUUUGUGACACAUACACAGGUUAAAAUGGCAAUUAAAGUUAAUUUCCCACACCUGUUGCUUUUUAAAUUGAAGCUAGUGUUUGUGUAUAAAUAGUCAAUGAGUUUGUUAGCUCUAAUGUGGAUGUACUGAGCAGGCUAGCAAGCUAGAUACUGAGCCAUGAGGAGCAGAAAAUAACAGUCAAAAUACCUGCAUAACAAGGUAAUGAAAAUUUAUAAAGAUUGAAAAGGAUAUAAAAAGAUAUUCAAAGCCUUGAAAAUACCAGUCAGCAGAGUGACGUAUGACGUAGUUACUUUGACAUCGGAGGCGGGGCUAUCAGGAGGCGAGACCUAUGAUCAUCGCUGUACAUGUGGAACGCUGUCAGCUCCUGCACUGAGAGACGAGGAAAAGCUAGCUGUACCCGGGUCGAUGGAAGCAGCCUUUGAGGUGAAGUUGAAGCAGAAAACGGAGAGCAUUCAUUCUGAGUGCUUUCUUUUUUUUUUUUGAAGAUUAGGAAGGGGACUUGUGAUGGAGUUAAGCCAAGUGGAAGGAACAAUAUUGGAAGGGAAGAACGUCCUCAAACGACCGGAAAAGAUAAGUAAAUCUAUUUUUGUAAUCUAUGUACAAUUUAUGCAUUUGGAUCCCUCUACUGGAUUUGCCCCAGUAAAGAGGUUAAAAAGUAAAUCAAGGCAUAUUGAUAGACCUGCAGCAAUUCUAUACAAUCAUUUAAUAAGCGCAGGCUAACUACAUAAGAAUACUGGAUUAAGCAAAACCAUUAAGGGUUGUGUGGUCCAAAAAGUAUAAAGAUAUAAAGACAGAAGGAAAGAUGGGAAGAGGAAAGAAGAAGGAAAAAUAAAAAGGACACAAGAAAAAGUGAUUAUAGAGCCUUUAAGCAAUAAAGAUGGCUUCAAAAAAGGUACAGGAAGACAAGAAGAAAAAAGAUAAAAAGGAACAGCUACCAGAGAAAAGAUUAUCAGGUUUUUUUUCUCCUUCCCAAAAUAAAUCCCAAAUAUCCCCAUAUAAUGGGGAUGCAAUAACUCUGCAAAAACACAAUCCCCCUUGGGACGCCCAGGGGCUUAGGCCUUUAACAGAAGAGAUUGUGACCAGUUAUCUGGAAAAAUGAUCUAACAGUAUAAAAGGUGACAUCACGACCAGCACUAUGGAAUUAGAUCAAGAAUUAAAAACCAUGCAGGAAAAACUUGCUACGGUAGAAGUCAAUUUCUCACAGAUUGAUACAAAAUGUAAUCAAUUACAGAUGAUAUUCUGAGACAUGAAGAUAAAAUUUGCUCAACUGGAAGUCAAGAUAAACUUUAUGGAGGAUUGUUCAAGAAUAUCAAACAUCAGAAUUUGCAAUAUCCCGGAAGCUAUUUCUAACACUAUUCUGAAGGACUUUCUCACUGAAUAUUAUAUAAGCUUAAUACCUGAAGAAGGGAUUUUCUUUUGGACCGUUUUUACCAUUUACCAAGAGCUCAAAAAAUAUCAGAUUCUCUCCCUCGAGAUGUCAUUGUCAAAUUCCAUUCUUACCACACUAAGUUCAGAAUCAUGGCCUCAUUGAGAAGCAAACCGGCAUUGGAAGAUAAAUUCAAAAAUCUAAUUAUAUUCCCAGAUCUAUCAUUUCAUAUGAGAGUGUGGCGAAAAAAUUUGUUUACAUCUGAACAUUCUGAGACAAAGAAAUGUGAAAUAUAUCUAGGGUUUCCCAACUUCACUUAGAUUAUACUUGAUGGAUAGGAUGGAAAUGUUUGACACUCCUGAGACGCUUGCCAAAUGGAUGGAAAAAAACCAAAUAAUUGGCUAAUAAUACCAAACAAGAUAGGGUUAAACGGUUGAAGAAUAAUUUAACUGGUCAAUUAUAUAAGUAACAUAUAAGUAAAUUUAUUAUUUUUAUUUAUUUUUGCAAAUUUUUUCAUAAUCUUCCACCCUUUGAAUCAAACGAUAGAAGUAAAGUAAAAAAUAAUAUUGGUUUUUGAAUAGAUGGUAUAAAUAAGGGAAUGCUGGAUAACAGGGGUACACGAACUAUGGGGGUGAGCAAGAAGUAUUUAGAAAAAAGGGGUUGAAGCAGUAAGAUUUGGAUAAUUAAGAAACAUAAUUAGAGGUAUAUAAGUUGAUAGCACUCAUGUUAGCACUUUAAUUAUUAAUCUUUGAAAAUAAAACAAAAUUAUAUUAAUAAUGAAAAUUGCACAGAGUGAAUAAGUAUAUGGGGAAUUAACAAUAAAAACACUAUAGAGUUUUUUUUCUGUUAGAAGCAAUAAUAGGUUAAGCUGUGCGGUCUAGUAUUAAAUGCUGUUGUAUUAUAGGAAGGGGAGUUGGAGUCUCGCAAUACCUCAUGCCUCUCUGAGUGUCUAAUUUAUGGGCACAAAAACAGAGGAGUUCACGCACUCCAUGUAGGAUUGACUCAUUCUCGGAGGGACGGGGGAAUGACAAAAAAUAGCUUAUUUUAGUUUGUUUCUUUUGGUUUUGGGAUACUGUGGCUCCCUCUUCUCCCUGAGAAGGAUGUCGAUCCAGGCCAGUCUGGAUGAUUUGAUCAGGUGGCCAAGUUUUGUAUGUUUUCUAUGUUAUAUAUAUAUGGUAUGUUAGUAAUUAUGUACAUACCUUUGGGGAUGGGGGGGAGGCUUAUCUUAUACAGGACAAUGGUUAAAAUUAUAUCUGUGAAUGUUCAGGGCCUAAACUCUCCCCAUAAGAAAUCUACAUUAUUUAAUUAUAUGCUUAAAAACAAAGUGGAGGUAGGUUUCUUACAGGAAACACACUGGAGGGAAGUUGAUAAAGUCAGAUGGGUAGGUACUAGAUUACCCAUCCUAUUUCAAACUUCAGUUAAAGAUAAAAAAGAAACAAGGGGUAGCUAUAAUAUUUUCCCAAUCACUACAAGUGGACAUAUUAUAUUGAUUUAAAGACCCGGAGAGUAGAUUUUUAAUUAUUAUUUGCAAGCUAAAUGAGAUUAACUACACUCUGAUUAACAUCAAUCUACCAAAUGACUCUCCGGUUUUAGUUUUGAAAACAAUUCUGGAACAGGUGGAAUUAUUAAUAAACAGGAAUCUGUUUAAUAGCAGCGGACUUUAACUGUGUGUUGAACCCAAAAAUAGACAAAAUAUUCUCUAAGAAAGAACCGACAAAUUAUAGAUUAGUUAAACUGGCUAAAUCAUUGAGUAGUAUUACGGUUACCUCCAGGCUAGCUGAAAGUUGGACCGCUUGGACAUCCUGGUUCCCGAUCUUGGAGAGUGAGAGCGCUGCUCCGAUCAGCAUCCAACAAUAAUUCCUGGAAAUGUAGAAAAUCCCACAAGCUAUUAGCAAAGCUGGGAUAACACCUUUUCCUACAACACGAGUCGAGGCUGCGAGUUGAGGGUAAAACAAACUGGUUUAAUUGGUGGUCAUGCACAGUAAUUUAUACAAGUUUUCAGGCCAGAGGACAACCCCCUGGACCUGAUGGUACACUGGACAAUGCAAUGUCCCAACCAAUAAGAGUAAAGUGCAUUUUCUGAAACACUUCCCCCUACCCUGGAGAUAAUUGGUCUCAACGGUUACAGUAACUCAAUUAUCUCCAGGUACAUGAAAAUACCCACGUUUUAUUCAACACACGAAAACAGCAUAAAAAUACAUAACUUUCACAUUAUUUUACUGAAAUAUUCUAUCUGACCCCUCUCCAGACAGCUUGGAUCUAAGCGCACAAAAUAUACAAAUUGUGCUCAGAUCUCAUGAAUGAUGUAUGAAAGUCACGGAAAUAAAGUGUGUCUAUAUGGCUUUCGUGUUUCUUUGCCCGAACUGAUGAGACAACUGAAAACUCAGUGGGAUUCGUGCAACCCAGUGUCCGAUAAUAGUUCCAGGGUUUUGAUGAUCAAGUCCCGCUGGGUGUUCAAUGACAAAAGAUGGGCGUCACCUCGUUUUCGGCAUACGAAAGGCGACCACCUUGGUGAUAAGUGAUUAUGUUGCGUUUAACCACAGAAAACGCAGCUUCAUGGUGGUUAAGUGAAGACACACGCCAGUGUCUAGGUGGUCUUCGGUCGGUAGUUAUUUCGGUAUUUUGUUUGUCACCCCGUUUGGUCCUUUAUGUACGAACGGUGACCACCCUGAUGCCAGCCGAUUAGUCUGUGGUUAACCACAACCCGCAGCUCCAGGGUGGUUAUUGUCAACACACUUCUCAGGUAGGGUGGUCUGCCAUUCAUCAGUUUAUUCAGUGUUUUAAAGGUGAACAGGGUUAACUAGCGGCACACACUAAGGGCUGGGUGGUCGGUCAUUCGUGCAUAUGAAUGGCCUACAAAGGAUGUUCGCAUAAGAACAAAGUAUCCAAAUUGAAACUAAAGUAUCCGUUUGUAGCAGACAGAUUACAGAUUACUUGUUACAGAUCUCUGUAACAAGUAGUAAUAUGAAUAAGUUUGAUUAUUUUGAUUUGUGGAGAACUUCAUAUCCUGGAAAGUCUCAUAUUAUGUUUUUUUUCUAGAGUACAUUUGUCAUACUCGCGAAUUUGAGGCAACCUUGCCUCUCUGGAAAACUUAGAAGAUAUAAAAAUUCUGGAUAAUUCUUGUUCAGACCAUAGCAUUAACAUGUGGUCAAUGAAGGAGAAAUGGAACAAAAUUAACAGAGAUACCUGGCGGUUAAACAAUCACCUACUGUACAAUAAAACAUAUCUUGAGAUAUUUAAAAAACAGAUAAUUUGUUUGUUUGCAGAAAAUUAUCCUAGAGACAUCUCAUACACUAACAAUUGGUGUGCUUUUAAGUCUACCAUGAGAGGGAACUUCAUAAGUCUGUAUGCAAAGUUUUAAACAGAAAGUAGUGCAGAAAUGGUAACUCUGCAAACGAAAUUAAUAAAAGCUUCUAAUAAAAAUAAACAAACUCCCUCUAGAGAGAACUCACAGACUUUGCAUAAGAUACAGAAUCAAAUUAACUUAAAACCUCUAGAAAAUAAUGUAAAAAUUCUAAACAAACUAAGAUGCAAGUAUUAUAGUAAAGGAAACCAAGCAGACAGGUUACUGACAAAAAAAUUGAGAGGCAGUAGAAGUAGAAUCGUAAGGCUGACAGAUGAGGAAAGGGAAUUGGAGAUUGCUUCAAUUUAUAUUAUAGCAUAAUAAUCUUCCAAUUAUUAAUAAAAAAUAUGAAGGACUACUUUGAGAAUAAUAACACCCCUAAGAUCUCGGAUAGCCAAAAAACUAGUUUAAACUGCCCAAUAACUGCCCAAGAGGUGGAGAAGAUAAUUCUUAACCUUAAGUCUACAAAAAUCCAGGACCAGAUGAUUUUUCAAAUUUGUUUUACAGUUCCUUUGUAGACUUGAUUAGCACUCAUCUAGCUUGCACGUUUAACUAUAUUAUCACAAGGGGGGUUUCCCUAGACAAAUGCUUAGAGCCAACAUUCUUCCAAUACUAAAGCAGGAUAAAGAUCCAUCAAAAGUGGAAAGCUACAGACCAAUGUAUUUGAUAAAUACUGAUGUAAAGAUCUUCUCGGCAAUAUUAGAAAAACAGACUGAAAGAUACCUUAAAUAACAUCAUUAAUAAGGACCAAAUAGGUUCUGUCCCGGAACGAGUAUAAUACGAGGCAUAUAAUAGAUAUAUUAGAUGACGCUAAUAAGAAAAAAGUCCCAUUGUUGAUUUUAGCAGUGGAUGCUGAGAAGGCAUUCAACAGGGUCAGUUGGGAGUUCUUGCACAACACGCUGGAGAAAUUUGGUAUUCAUGACUGGAUGUACCGGGCAAUCCUGUCAGUAUACGACAGCCCUACAGCAAGAACAGUGGGACCUAACAUCUGUGCGGACUGGUUCACAUUACACAAUGGAACCAGACAGGAAUGCCCGUUAUCCCUAAUCUUGUAUGUUAUGACAAUGGAAAUAUUGGCAAAUAAUAUUAGAAACAACUCUUUACUAAAAGGAUUCUCUACUAAACAGAAAGAUCUUAAGCUGAACCUUUAUUCAGAUGUCCUGAUCGUGACUCUAACCGACCCUGUCGAAUUGCUAAAAGUUCUAAUUAAGGACUUGGAAGCAUACAGUUUUAUAUCAAACUAUAAAAUGAAUGUGCAUAAAUCAAUAUCAAUGACCAUCAAUAUAGAUAGAAGCGGCAGGUCCCAUUUGGAAGAGUGGUACAAAUUUAAAUAGUCUAGAAAUACCUUACCAUAUUUGGGCAUAAUAAUAACUAAAAAUAUAGCGGAGGUAAUGCAGUCAAAUUUUUUAAGUAUGUUCAGAUAUACUCAUAGCUCCCUGAAAAAAAUGGAGGCAUGUCGAGUUAUCUUGGUGGGGGAGAAUUAACCUAAUUAAUGCCUAUCUGAUGCCUAAAUGGUCUUAUUUAUUCUGUUUGCUUCCCUUAAGAAUGACUCAACCUUGGCUUCAUUUGGUAGGAGAAAAAGCCAACAAUUAACAAAAACAAUUGAUGCAGAAAAGUAAGGAUGGUGGGAUAUACUUUCCUAAUAUGUAUUAUACAUAUUUUUCAAAUAUUGUUUUCCAUUUGUAUAGGACACAACUAUACAGUAGUAAAGAAGACUGAUGGCAUAUAUUAGAAACGGAAAUGAGUGGGGUAGAAGAUUUGAGUCAUUUGGUGUGGUUGGGGAAAAAGGAUGAACGGGUUUAAAUGGCUGGCGCUUCUAACACCUGUUUGGAUUCACUGCUCUAUGAAUGGGGUAAAAUGAAACACAUGAGUGGGCUAGGAAAUAAAGUACAGAGAAGCUUCAAAUGAUCUGAUAUUCAAUUAUUUGUAAUGGAUUUACAUAUUGAAGAGUAGACCCGAAAGGGCAUAAAGCAAAUUAAUCAAUUAUUGUUAAAUGACAACAUUAAACCAUUCGCAAAAUUAUUCAAGAGUUUCAGCUAUUGACAAAAUAAUUGUACAACUAUUUCAGGAUUACAAAUUUUAUAAAACAAAAUGUUCUUUCUAACUCUUCAGAGGGCAUAGAAAUUUUAAGUGCAAUACUAAAUAAUGAGGCGGUAUUACAAGUAGCUUCUAAAGCCAGAAGAGGUUUGCUAAAUAUUAAAGCUCCUACUAAUAAUUUGAUAGUCCAAAAAUGAAAGACCUUAAAAUCUAAAUUUCAUGGGAGGAGUGGUGUCGGGUGCUAUCUCAAACAAGUAAAAAUAUACACUGUUUGUAUAUCAUAGUAAUGGUAUUCAAGGUACUGAACAGGUGGUAUAUGGUACCAUCUAAGAUGGCUAAAAUGUAAAAUCCUAGUUUCCUGAUCUGCUGGAGAUGUAACAAACACUAUGGCUCUUUUUUACAUAUACGGUGGGAGUGUGAUUUGGUGAAAGAGUUAUGGUCAAUGUUUUUUUUGUGGGCUAGAAAGGUUAAUGGGGAAAUGAAUCCCCAGAGGUCCAGAAAACAUAUUAUUACAGCUCAAUAUUCAAAAUGCACAGUUUAAAAAUGUGUAUGUAUAUAUAUAUAUAUAUAUAUAUAUAUGUACGUUAUAUGGGGCAGCCAAACUAAUUGUUGCACAAAAUUGGAAGAGCUUGGCAAACUUUAGAUUUGAGCACUUUAAAAUACAAGUCCUAUACCAAUUAAGGAUGGAUUCUUUAUUUUCCAAGCCAUAUCAAAAAAUCAGGAGAUAGGUAAGCAUUGGUUUGAAAAAAUGGAGAGUGAGGGUAGUAAUACCUGAACAAAAUAUUUGUAUCAAAACUAUUGUUGCUAGGAAAAAUAUUGGUAGGAGUCCCACCCAACAUUCCCCAUGGUGUUGUUGUAAGUGUUGUAAUACAUUGAUGAUUGCCGUAGAGCUGGAUUUAAGGUGUUCAGUGUAGGGCAAUUGCCCUGGAUAUGUCUUUUGUAUGGAAAACCAAAUAAAAAAGUUAUUAAAAAAAAUGCCAGUCAGCACUGUUCAGUCACUUAUUAACAAGUGGAAAAUCUAAGGAUCUCUUGAUACCAAGCCAUGGUCAGGUAGACCAAAAAAGAUUUCAGCUACAACUGCCAGAGGAAUUGUUCGGGAUACAAAGAAAAACCCACAAGUAACCUCAGGAGAAAUACAAGCUGCUUUGGAAAAAGACAGUGUGGUUGUUUCAAGGAGCACAAAAUGACGAUACUUGAACAAAAAUGAGCUGCAUGGUCGAGUUGCCAGAAAGAAACUUUAACUGUGCCAAUGCCAAAAAAAAGUCCGGUUACAAUAUGCUCAACACCACCUUGACAUGCUUCACAGCUUCUCGCACAAAUUUGGAGUGACGAGACCAAAAAAGAGCUUUAUGGUCACAACCAUAAGCGCUAUGUUUGAAGAGGGGUCAAACAACUGCACUCUUCUGGACAGUGAUCUCAGAUGUCCCACCUGGAAUCUUUUUAAGUCACUCCCCCAACUUGGGAGUCACAGCCCAGAGUGCUUCUAUCACAACUGGGACUACUACUGCCUUCACUUUCCACAUCUUUUCUUGUUCUUCUUUCAGUCCUUGGUAUUUGUCCACCUUCUCAUGUUCUUUCUUCCUGAUUUUAUAGUCACUGGGUAUUGCCACAUCCACCAUGACUGCAGUCUUUCGUUACUUGUCUACCACCACGAUGUCUGGUUGGUUGACCAGCACUUGCUUGUCUGUCUGGAUCUUGAAGUCCCAUAGGAUCUUAGCCCUGUCAUAUAUAUAUUUUUCAAAUAUUGUUUUCCAUUUGUAUAGGACACAACUAUACAGUAGUAAAGAAGACUGAUGGCAUAUAUUAGAAACGGAAAAGAGUGGGGUAGAAGAUUUGAGUCAUUUGGUGUGGUUGGGGAAAAAGGAUGAACGGGUUUAAAUGGCUGGCGCUUCUAACACCUGUUUGGAUUCACUGCUCUAUGAAUGGGGUAAAAUGAAACACAUGAGUGGGCUAGGAAAUAAAGUACAGAGAAGCUUCAAAUGAUCUGAUAUUCAAUUAUUUGUAAUGGAUUUACAUAUUGAAGAGUAGACCCGAAAGGGCAUAAGCAUUUUACUUCAAGACCGUGAGUGCUAGCCAAUACUUACACUUUGUAUAUAUUUAUUGCACCCUGCAAUGAUAUUUGCAGAAUACUGCUGUGUAUAUAUCUGAGUGCAAGGACUGGACAUUUUUGUUAUAUAUAUAUAUAUAUAUUAUACAAAACAAAAGUACAUUGUGUAGUAUGUCAAGGUACAGAAGAUAAUAUAAACAUAUGGUAAAACACAUUCACAUACUGCUGAGUCAAUCAAAAGCUAACUCAGUCUUUAGAACUAUGUGUAAGUAUCCUUCGAUAUGGAUCGAAUUUCUCCACUUAGAUUUAAUGUUCCAACUGCUCUUAUUGGCAAGAAUCCAGACUUUAUUAAAUUGACAGUAAAAAUUACAAAAAUAAAAAAUAAACUAAUAAAAUUUGAAUAGUAGAGAAUCGCUGUUCCUAUUUAGGAGGGACAGACCCUAUUUUGGCCCCCAAAUUACUCUGUUCCUCUCUUCUAUUCUAAUGUCCCUAUUUUCUAGGAGGUCCAUCUCGUAGGUGUGUCUGAAUGUAUAAUAAGUUCCACAGCAAUAAUACUCCCAUUAAUGUGUCCUGAAACUACUGUAAAUAUGUUUAGAAAUCAGACUGUGGGAAUAAAAUACACUGUCCUUGUUAUAAAUUAAAUUAAAUUAUAUGUAGUUGAAUAAAUUAGUAAGUUAACUAGAAUGUCUCCAAAUAGACCUGCCCGUGACCACAGCUCCAUUAACAUUCUUAAACUAGUGUCCCUAUGUGUCAAUUUAAAGAGUUGAGAGAUAGGGUUAAUGAAAAUAUAAUUUAUGAUGAUGUUUACAUGUUAAUUGAGGAAACUGUAUUUUCAAAAGAAACUCAAACGUGAAGUUUAAAAGUCCUUCUUUUAUAUUUUCAGGACACCUGAUCAACAGACUAACCACCCAUGGCUGUGCCUCUCCUAAGAUCUGUGGUAGCCUUAAUCGAACAGUCACCAAAGAUUUCAAAACCUUUAAAGAAGUGAAAACCUGCACAAUUGCCAAAAACUGUAGCUGCC
This 12289-nucleotide long non-coding RNA is filed under the name Pelobates cultripes (western spadefoot toad). The record is from RNAcentral. Lineage: Eukaryota; Metazoa; Chordata; Amphibia; Anura; Pelobatidae.